Molecule: ribosomal RNA, 433 nt
Filed under: uncultured bacterium
Lineage: Bacteria
Description: partial 16S ribosomal RNA
Rfam family: Bacterial small subunit ribosomal RNA
Source: RNAcentral
AACGAACGCUGGCGGCAUGCCUAACACAUGCAAGUCGAACGAGACCUUCGGGUCUAGUGGCGCACGGGUGCGUAACGCGUGGUAACCUGCCCUUAGGUUCGGAAUAACUCCCCGAAAGGGGUGCUCAUACCGGAUAAUGUCUUCGCACCAAAGAUUUAUCGCCUUUGGAUGGGCCCGCGUUGGAUUAGCUAGUUGGUAGGGUAAAAGCCUACCAAGGAGACGAUCCAUAGCUGGUCUGAGAAGAUGAUCAGCCACACUGGAACUGAGACACGGCCCAGACUCCUACGGGAGGGAGCAGUGGGGAAUAUUGGACAAUGGGCGAAAGCCUGAUCCAGCAAUGCCGGGUGAGUGAUGAAGGGCUUAGGGUUGUAAAGCUGUUUUACACGGGAUGAUAAUGACAGUACCGGGAGAAUAAGCUCCGGCUAACUACGUG